RNAcentral lists this ribosomal RNA (629 nucleotides) under Serratia marcescens. Its description in RNAcentral is "bacterial SSU rRNA". It matches the Rfam family "Bacterial small subunit ribosomal RNA", at positions 856 to 1485 of the family's 1533-position model. Lineage: Bacteria; Pseudomonadati; Pseudomonadota; Gammaproteobacteria; Enterobacterales; Yersiniaceae. The record is from RNAcentral.
CGCGUUAAAUCGACCGCCUGGGGAGUACGGCCGCAAGGUUAAAACUCAAAUGAAUUGACGGGGGCCCGCACAAGCGGUGGAGCAUGUGGUUUAAUUCGAUGCAACGCGAAGAACCUUACCUACUCUUGACAUCCAGAGAACUUUCCAGAGAUGCUUUGGUGCCUUCGGGAACUCUGAGACAGGUGCUGCAUGGCUGUCGUCAGCUCGUGUUGUGAAAUGUUGGGUUAAGUCCCGCAACGAGCGCAACCCUUAUCCUUUGUUGCCAGCGGUUCGGCCGGGAACUCAAAGGAGACUGCCAGUGAUAAACUGGAGGAAGGUGGGGAUGACGUCAAGUCAUCAUGGCCCUUACGAGUAGGGCUACACACGUGCUACAAUGGCAUAUACAAAGAGAAGCGACCUCGCGAGAGCAAGCGGACCUCAUAAAGUAUGUCGUAGUCCGGAUUGGAGUCUGCAACUCGACUCCAUGAAGUCGGAAUCGCUAGUAAUCGUAGAUCAGAAUGCUACGGUGAAUACGUUCCCGGGCCUUGUACACACCGCCCGUCACACCAUGGGAGUGGGUUGCAAAAGAAGUAGGUAGCUUAACCUUCGGGAGGGCGCUUACCACUUUGUGAUUCAUGACUGGGGUGAAG